Oryza sativa (Asian cultivated rice) is the source of this 119-nucleotide ribosomal RNA. NCBI's taxonomy places the organism in Eukaryota, Viridiplantae, Streptophyta, Magnoliopsida, Poales, Poaceae. The record is from Rfam.
GGAUGCGAUCAUACCAGCACUAAAGCACCGGAUCCCAUCUGAACUCCGAAGUUAAGCGUGCUUGGGCGAGAGUAGUACUAGGAUGGGUGACCUCCUGGGAAGUCCUCGUGUUGCAUCCC